RNAcentral lists this unclassified non-coding RNA (332 nucleotides) under soil metagenome. RNAcentral's name for it is "partial contains 5.8S ribosomal RNA, internal transcribed spacer 2, and large subunit ribosomal RNA". The stretch from base 1 to 120 matches the Rfam family "5.8S ribosomal RNA", at positions 35 to 154 of the family's 154-position model. The record is from RNAcentral.
GAUGAAGAACGUAGCAAAAUGCGAUAAGUAAUGUGAAUUGCAGAAUUCAGUGAAUCAUCGAAUCUUUGAACGCACAUUGCGCCCGCCAGUAUUCUGGCGGGCAUGCCUGUUCGAGCGUCAUUUCAACCCUCAAGCACAGCUUGGUGUUGGGACUCGCGUUAAUUCGCGUUCCCCAAAUUGAUUGGCGGUCACGUCGAGCUUCCAUAGCGUAGUAGUAAAACCCUCGUUACUGGUAAUCGUCGCGGCCACGCCGUUAAACCCCAACUUCUGAAUGUUGACCUCGGAUCAGGUAGGAAUACCCGCUAAACUUAAGCAUAUCAAUAAGCGGAGGA